AAACUGAAGAGUUUGAUCAUGGCUCAGAUUGAACGCUGGCGGCAGGCUUAACACAUGCAAGUCGAGCGGUAACAGGAGAAGCUUGCUUCUUGCUGACGAGCGGCGGACGGGUGAGUAAUACUUAGGAAUCUGCCCAGUAGUGGGGGAUAGCUCGGGGAAACUCGAAUUAAUACCGCAUACACCCUACGGGGAAAAGGGGGCGCUUGCGCUCUCGCUAUUGGAUGAGCCUAAGUCGGAUUAGCUAGUUGGUGGGGUAAAGGCCUACCAAGGCGACGAUCUGUAGCUGGUCUGAGAGGAUGAUCAGCCACACCGGGACUGAGACACGGCCCGGACUCCUACGGGAGGCAGCAGUGGGGAAUAUUGGACAAUGGGGGCAACCCUGAUCCAGCCAUGCCGCGUGUGUGAAGAAGGCCUUUUGGUUGUAAAGCACUUUAAGCAGUGAAGAAGACUCUAUGGUUAAUACCCAUAGACGAUGACAUUAGCUGCAGAAUAAGCACCGGCUAACUCUGUGCCAGCAGCCGCGGUAAUACAGAGGGUGCAAGCGUUAAUCGGAAUUACUGGGCGUAAAGCGAGCGUAGGUGGCUUAAUAAGUCAGAUGUGAAAUCCCCGGGCUUAACCUGGGAACUGCAUCUGAUACUGUUAGGCUAGAGUAGGUGAGAGGGAGGUAGAAUUUCAGGUGUAGCGGUGAAAUGCGUAGAGAUCUGAAGGAAUACCGAUGGCGAAGGCAGCCUCCUGGCAUCAUACUGACACUGAGGUUCGAAAGCGUGGGUAGCAAACAGGAUUAGAUACCCUGGUAGUCCACGCCGUAAACGAUGUCUACUAGUCGUUGGGGAACUUGAUUCCUUAGUGACGCAGCUAACGCAAUAAGUAGACCGCCUGGGGAGUACGGCCGCAAGGUUAAAACUCAAAUGAAUUGACGGGGGCCCGCACAAGCGGUGGAGCAUGUGGUUUAAUUCGAUGCAACGCGAAGAACCUUACCUGGUCUUGACAUAUCUAGAAUCCUGCAGAGAUGCGGGAGUGCCUUCGGGAAUUAGAAUACAGGUGCUGCAUGGCUGUCGUCAGCUCGUGUCGUGAGAUGUUGGGUUAAGUCCCGCAACGAGCGCAACCCUUUUCCUUAGUUACCAGCGGUUUGGCCGGGGACUCUAAGGAUACUGCCAGUGACAAACUGGAGGAAGGCGGGGACGACGUCAAGUCAUCAUGGCCCUUACGACCAGGGCUACACACGUGCUACAAUGGUAGGUACAGAGGGCUGCUACACAGCGAUGUGAUGCGAAUCUCAAAAAGCCUAUCGUAGUCCAGAUUGGAGUCUGCAACUCGACUCCAUGAAGUCGGAAUCGCUAGUAAUCGCGGAUCAGAAUGCCGCGGUGAAUACGUUCCCGGGCCUUGUACACACCGCCCGUCACACCAUGGGAGUUGAUUGCACCAGAAGUGGGUAGCCUAACUUUUAGAGGGCGCUCACCACGGUGUGGUCGAUGACUGGGGUGAAGUCGUAACAAGGUAGCCGUAGGGGAACCUGCGGCUGGAUCACCUCCUUA
RNAcentral lists this ribosomal RNA (1535 nucleotides) under Psychrobacter raelei. RNAcentral describes it as "bacterial SSU rRNA". It matches the Rfam family "Bacterial small subunit ribosomal RNA". The record is from RNAcentral. Lineage: Bacteria; Pseudomonadati; Pseudomonadota; Gammaproteobacteria; Moraxellales; Moraxellaceae.